CGGCACUGCAUUUCCAUCAAGGACUGCCUACUGGGGUGAAAAGCAAGACCACCAGUGAUGUUCUAUAGCCCUGCAACACGACACCACAAAAUGGCGAGCUGCAAGGCCAGCUGCUCCUUUUCCUCAUGGAUCUUCUCCCUUGCUGCCCUCUCAGCAUGGAAAUCUGAACAGUACACCUCCAUCUGUUAGAGGAAAGUUGAGUUACCAUGGAGAUGAGCGUGGUCUCCACGGUGACCUGACCUGACCUGAUGUCUGGCCCGUGCUGUACCUGUAGAUGGGCUUCGGGAAGACAGAUCUCUGUUGUCAACAGGUAUGAUAAGUUAUGGCUUCCCAAUGCCGUUAAACAGAUACAAGUCAUGUGCAUGUGGGUGCUUUAAACUGAACUGAUAUAAACGGAUUAAGGAAUGCACGAAUCAUUCAUUAAAUAAAAUAUUUCUU
This 438-nucleotide long non-coding RNA is filed under the name Rattus norvegicus (Norway rat). Its description in RNAcentral is "long non-coding RNA NONRATT013112". Lineage: Eukaryota; Metazoa; Chordata; Mammalia; Rodentia; Muridae. The record is from RNAcentral.